This 460-nucleotide ribosomal RNA is filed under the name uncultured bacterium. Its description in RNAcentral is "partial 16S ribosomal RNA". It matches the Rfam family "Bacterial small subunit ribosomal RNA", at positions 338 to 795 of the family's 1533-position model. The record is from RNAcentral.
CCUACGGGAGGCUGCAGUGAGGAAUAUUGGUCAAUGGACGAGAGUCUGAACCAGCCAAGUAGCGUGAAGGAUGACUGCCCUAUGGGUUGUAAACUUCUUUUAUAAAGGAAUAAAACGAGGCACGUGUGCCUUUUUGCAUGUACUUUAUGAAUAAGGAUCGGCUAACUCCGUGCCAGCAGCCGCGGUAAUACGGAGGAUCCGAGCGUUAUCCGGAUUUAUUGGGUUUAAAGGGAGCGUAGAUGGGUUGUUAAGUCAGUUGUGAAAGUUUGCGGCUCAACCGUAAAAUUGCAAUUGAUACUGACAGUCGUGAGUACAGUUGAGGUAGGCGGAAUUCGUGGUGUAGCGGUGAAAUGCUUAGAUAUCACGAAGAACCCCGAUUGCGAAGGCAGCUUACUAAACUGUGACUGACAUUGAUGCUCGAAAGUGUGGGUAUCAAACAGGAUUAGAUACCCCUGUAGUC